CCUACGGGUGGCAGCAGUGGGGAAUAUUGGACAAUGGGGGCAACCCUGAUCCAGCCAUGCCGCGUGUGUGAAGAAGGCCCUCGGGUUGUAAAGCACUUUCAGUGAGGAAGAACGCCUGGUGGUUAAUACCCAUCAGGAAAGACAUCACUCACAGAAGAAGCACCGGCUAACUCCGUGCCAGCAGCCGCGGUAAUACGGAGGGUGCGAGCGUUAAUCGGAAUUACUGGGCGUAAAGCGCGCGUAGGUGGCAUGAUAAGCCGGUUGUGAAAGCCCCGGGCUCAACCUGGGAACGGCAUCCGGAACUGUCAAGCUAGAGUGCAGGAGAGGAAGGUAGAAUUCCCGGUGUAGCGGUGAAAUGCGUAGAGAUCGGGAGGAAUACCAGUGGCGAAGGCGGCCUUCUGGACUGACACUGACACUGAGGUGCGAAAGCGUUGGUAGCAAACAGGAUUAGAUACCCGUGUAGUC
RNAcentral lists this ribosomal RNA (465 nucleotides) under Vreelandella stevensii. RNAcentral's name for it is "partial 16S ribosomal RNA". It matches the Rfam family "Bacterial small subunit ribosomal RNA", at positions 338 to 795 of the family's 1533-position model. Lineage: Bacteria; Pseudomonadati; Pseudomonadota; Gammaproteobacteria; Oceanospirillales; Halomonadaceae. The record is from RNAcentral.